AGGGGCAUGACAGUUUGAACGGAACCUUUACCAAAACUACGGGUGCCAACAACAAUUGCCCUGCGGUGAUCUUGUAAAGCGCCUGCAACAAUUUCAGAUGCAGAUGCAGAUCCGCCAUUUAUUAAGACAACAAUUGGCUUUCCAUCUGCCAAGUCUCCCGGCUUUGCAGUAUAUCGUUCACUAUCUUUGCUGUAUCUACCGCGUGUGGAAACAAUUUCUCCUUUUUCUAAAAAGGCGUCUGAUACACGAAUUGCUUGGUUUAGAAGUCCACCGGGAUUGUUUCGUAA
Molecule: non-coding RNA, 287 nt
Filed under: marine eukaryotic metagenome
Source: RNAcentral